CCCAAGGUGUUGGGGACCCUAGGGAUGCUGACUCUGGUGCUUUGCAAUUGCUCAGGUAAAAGAUCAGUGUGGAGGUGGGUAUAAUCUACUCUGACUCCUUGGAAGACUGACUGGAGCCAUGGAGAGGAACUAGAGUGAGCUGGGGACACCAAGAGGUGAGACCUGCAAGAGCUCUCCUGCUGGACCUCCCUUACCCACAGCUCCUCUCUCCUGGAGGUCUCUACAUCCAGCCUGUGUCCAGGGAGAGCAGCCUGGACUCACUGCCAAAACCCUUAUUGGCUGGAGGUGGCUGAUCCCACCUGCUGCUGGGCAGAGAAAGGCAAGGCAGGAGGGUCCUGGCUCUCUCAGCUGUGAUGUGCUCUGCUCCCAUGAGAAAAGAGAGGGGCAGGAGGGGAAACAGCCCCCAAGGAAGGAGCAGGUCUGUGGAGCAGGUAAGGGUCACAUGAAGACUGUCAUGAGACCCAGCAUCCCUCCAGCCACCACUGUCCAUUUUGUUUGUCCCCCCCAACCACCUCACAAUGUAAAAUCCUAAAAACCCUAAUCCCCCUCAGCCAGAGGGCAGGGAAUGGUGUGGCACACACAGCCCUGCUCAGCCAGCUCUCAUGAAGAUGAAUGAUCCUAUUUGAUGUGAUGACAUAGCCUUGGAGAUAUCCAGCAAGGGAGAAGAGGAACACCCUUCUCUCUAAAUUAUUUGUACCAAAUAGCUCUGACUGCAACCACCUUUUUGCUAAUAAAGAUUGGUUUCUAAUUGAUCUCUGCAGCACUGGCUGCUCCAGACACAGUGGGAUUUGGAAGUUAGUGGGAGACUCAUAGAGGUUAAAUGAGGAGAGAGAAAGCAACAUUCCCAGUCAGUCUUGCACUCAGUUUCCUUUCCAUACCACUGAAAAAGCAGCCCCAGGGAAGAGCUACAGCCAGAGCACUUACUAGGGUCAAGGUUCAUAGGACAGGGCAAGAGAAAGCACAACCUCAAAUAUCUUCAUUUUCAGAGCCAGGUCUUGUCAUGUGGGGACACAGGGUUUUGGAAAGGAUUCCCACCUUCUUGACCUCAAGGACUGGUGUAUGUAGCUGGAAUUUUGCUGAGCCCAGUGGCUGCCAGAGAGCCCAGAAGAGGGCAGCAAUACCGUGCAGGAAGCUGGAACUUUUUAACAGAAAUUGGGUCCUUUUAGAGGACAGAAGUUCUGGAUCUAAAAUGCAGCAGAAGGAGGGGCUUGUUCUGCUUUUUAGCAUAGAAUGGAACUCAGAGCAGGGGCAUUGGCCUAGCUCCAGGCUUGUGCUCAGUAGUUUCAGGGCAUGAAGCUGUCCCAAGAAAUUUCACAGGAAAUCUGGGCUGGGCAACUGUUUACUGAGGUUCAACAAAGAGACCAGUGCAAUUCAUCCACAGUAUCCUGGGCAGGAAUGCUAGGAGGUAUCUGGAGCUGACAGGAGGGAUAGAAGCUAAGUGUUUCAAGUCUUGACCAGCCUUCCUUCUCUGCCAAGGUGGUCAGGCACUGUCACAGGCUGCCCAGAGAAAUCGUAGAACCAACACCCCUGGAACCGUUCCAAAAACCUGCAGGUGUGGCACUAGUGGACAUGGGUUUUGGUGGGCUUGGCAGUGCUGGGGGAACGGUGGACUUGAUCUUGGAGGGCUGUUGCAACGUGAACAGUUCUACGCAGUGGAGGUAGAGUAGGGGGUGAGUGUAUGGUUUUGUGAAGGCAGGACUGUGAGCCUUCAAGGUGGGAGCUGCAGGAAGGAGCUUGCAGGAGGGCCUGUGUUUCCCUAUAAAGCUCCAUACUUCUGCUGCUCCUCACAGCUCUUCAGUCUCUGGGGCUGCAGAAGGGGUUUAAACACAACUUUGGCAUCAGUAGGCUGAAAGUGUAGAAAAAGGAAGUGCCAGCUUCCAGGAUCGCUGAAUCAGGGACAGUGGAGACCUUGAAGAAAGGAGAUGGGGGAAGAGGUGAGUCAGUUCUGGGUCUGUCCCCUAAAUUUCUCUGCUGGACUGGAGGUGAAGCCCCCAGAGUAAAUAUGUGCAUUUCCAGAGACACUGGGACAGAGAAGCACUGGGGCUCCCUCUCUGCUGUGGAGUUUGGAUGUGCUCAACCUCCUCACUCACUCCCAGCUUCUCCCCUCUGCAAAAUCCUGAAGAGGGCUGCAUAUAUAGAGGGUGCUGGCACUGCCCAGGCUCCCCAGGGAAUGGUCCUGGCCCCGAGGCUGCCAGAGCUCCAGCAGCCUUUGGACAGUGCUGCCAGGGAUGCACAGGGUGGGAUUGUUGGGUGGUCUGUGCAGGGCAAGGAGUUGUACCUGAUGAUCCUGUGGGUCCCUUCAUACUCAGGGUAUUCUGGGUUUCUAUGAAACCCCUUUGGAAUGACCCUGUAGAGCUGCAGCCCAAACCACACCAUGCUAAUGAGGCACAGCUAAUGCCCCUCUGCUGCCUUGAGGAGGCUGAGCCGGUGCCAGGGACCCAGCAGAGUGUCACGAGGCCAGCUUGGCACUGCAUGGCAUGAGGAGGCAGUGGCAGCUGCUCCCAAACUCAGCUCAGCUUGCAGGGGGAACAGAUUCCUUCUGACUAAUCUUGAGACAAGUGUAAUUAGCAGGUCUGUGGCAGGGGCUGGGGUCUGGGGCAGGGUCUGUGGCUCUCGCCUGUCCCCAGCUGGGUGGGCUGGACUGGGAGUUCACAGAUCACACAAUAUUCCGAGUUGGAAGGGACCCAUAAGGAUCAUUGAGUCCAAGUUGAUGAGGAAGGAGAGUCUGGUUCUCAAUACAAGCUGGUUCACCCCUACAAUCCAGGGCAGAUCAAAAGCCUGACAGUGAAAUUCCCAAUACCCAAGUCAGUCUCCUCCUGGAGGGUUCAAAGAACCGAGCCAUGGAAGAGGUUUGAGCCAAGCAGGACUGGUGGCCUGGAGAUGGGCAAAUGUCCAGCAUGGCUGGAACAAGCCCAGGUCUGGCACACAGGUCUGUGAGUGUCCUAGGAUUCCUGUCCUAGGAUUCAUGAAAACCCUUUUUCAGUUCAUCAAGUUUUGUGUGUUUCUGGUGCUUCCCUAAACCAUGUGAUAGUUUAAACCCCUCUGCCUUGCUGGGGCUGCCGUUCCCCCAAUGAAUGUGAUAAACAAAGGCUGCUCCUGUUUGGGUUUAAUUCAAAAGCCUGUUAAGCACCCAUGUUACUUUCAGCAUCUGGGGCUGUUUGUGUCAGUAUAGGUUUAGAUGCUUCCCUGGACUGGGAUCUAUGAAAAAGACCAAGAUCAUUAGGAAAACCAAAGGGAUUUUUGGUGUGGGGUGAUAAGACAGUAAGUGGCAGCAACACAACUACUUGCAAUCAUCUGCCCACGCUGCUGCUUAACCAGACUGAGAUAACUAAUUGAUGCUUAUGUUUGCAAGCAAUCAUCUUGAAAAUAUUCUAAUUUAUGUUAGAUUCAGUCCUGCUGGAUCCAAAAAUGUCUCCUGUUAGAGCGAUUCUGUGCAUGUGUGUGCAUAUAAUAGAACCUUUCCAGAAGUAAUUCAGGAACCAAAGUUUCAUCUUUCCUAUGUCCCACAAUAAAUGUAAUUUAAAACAAACAAACAAACAACAGCAACAACAAAAAGUAGUUUGGUCCAGAAUUUAUUUUAUGCCUAAAAUCUAGCCAGAAUGCUGUGAUGAACUAUGUAGGGAAAAGGCAAUGAGAAAAUUUGACUGGCCAGAACGAAAGACAAACAAAAUGUAUGGGAUAAAUAGGAAUACUAAUUUCAAAUGGGAAAACAUUUCAGCACAAAGUAAUGAGACCUGUCAGCUAUAUAGCUGGGGAGAGGUUUUUCUCUGAAAAUGAAAACAUGGUGAAGUUUCUCAAAUUUCUGGAGGUCACAGAGUCAGUCUUACACAGCCAGGGGGAAAGUGCCAAGUACAGCUGAUGCCUAGUUUCUGCAGAGGCCUGAGUCCAGCUGAGAAAAGGUUUAUCCCCUCAGUAAGUUCAGGAUUUAGAUCUUCUCCCCAAGAUGCCAAACACCUUUCCUUUCAUGUACCUCUUCUCUCAUUUUCCUUUCUACCAUCAGCAACUGGAUACCCCAAAGUAUGUCCUGCCUUUGUGUAUGUGGUAAUUGCUGUCCUGGUUGGAAAGAUGGGGGACUCUGUCCUUAAAUAUUGCGGUUUUGCUCCCAUGUAGAUUUUAAUUUUCAAUUUUCUUUGCCUCCAUGCUGUGGAAUGGGUACUGCACAGAUUCACAUGACAGGCCAAGGGAGGACUGGCAGAGCAGAGCUAAAUUGGACCCUCCCAUUGCAUGUUGGUUUCCAUGACAACUGCUCCUUUCUGUGCUCUCAGGAAUUGCUCAAACUAUCCUCCUGCACCAGAGCCCCCCCUUGCUGGGACUGCCCCCCUUGCUGGGGGUCUGAGGGGGCCAAAGGGCUGUAGUGCUUGUCCUGAAGACACAUGGGAUGAGUCAGGGGUGGCACACAGGUGAGGUGAGGUGCUCCAGAGGAAAAUCUACAUAGUGUCCUCAGCAUUCUGGUAUCAGUGGCGAUGGACAGACAUUCCAGAGGGUGAGGCAUUGAAGCAAUUUGGUCCAGUAGAAGGUGGCAGGGGGUGAAAUGAGAUGAGCUUCAAGGCCCUUUCCAGCCCAAACCAUUUUAUGAUUCUAAGGACAGGUUCACAGUCACAGAUAGCUCCUGCCAAAAGGUACCAACAAAGUGGAAAACUCAUUCCUGAUCCUCCCCAGAGGAGAAUGUCUCCUUGGCAGUGCUUUGAUCCCUGAGCUGGACAACAACACUCUUUGAAGAAAUGAGAUGUGGAAAUACUUGUGCAGACAACAAAUCACAGAAGCGAUUCGCUUUGAACUCACCCGAAAUAUGAAUACAGAGCUGCUCCACCAUCUCAAGUGGACAGAGCUAAUUGUCUGAAUGCUGAUGGGCAAAGGGCUUCUUUGCCAGCACUAUCAGUAGGCAGCAAUUAAUUAAAAGUGUUCCUGGGUAAUUUUGCAUAUCUUUUCUUUCAAGCUCAAAACGACUUAGUCUGCUCUUCCUCCUCCAAGGAUAAAGCACUUACUGACAUAUGCAAGAUGAAGGAGAUAAUUAAUGCACUUUACUCACUACUGAGUUCUCAGCUGGACACUGGGGUUUUUUUGUAUCAUGCCUUAAAAGACAACAAAUUAGAGAGGUCCCUGCCUGAACCACUCCCUCCACAGAACUGUGGGGUCAAGUGUGUUCAGGUCAGGUCAGAAAAGGUUAAGGGGGCAGGGGUUAUCAGUCCCAGAAAUGGUGUUUUAUAAAUGACCGUUCACAUACACUGAAGGACAAGUGAGCAUAUCAGCAUAAUUUAUAGAAUCAUAGACUGAUGGGCUAGGUUGGGACUUAAAAUCAACUGCUCUGACAAGACACUGGUUCUCAGAGAGCUUAAACCUUCAGCAAACCCUUGGAGAAACCCCUUUAAUGUAUCACCCACUGUCAUCUGAGUUCAGUAAUUUAAUUCUCAUUGCAUGAUAAUCUAAUAUCCAACCAAAACCUUGGAACAGCCUGGUCUACUGGAAGGUGUCUUUGCCCAUGCAGGAGAUUGGAACUAGAUGGUUUUUAAGUGAAACCACCUGGAGCUCAAGUUGCUGACCUCACCACGAAGUGCCACAGUGGUUCUGUGCUUGGCCUCAUGUUCUGAGGCAGCUUUGCCUUGGUGGGAAGGUACUGGGUUUCUUGCACAGUCUUUCUGGGGCUGUAAUUAGGGGCUGUGAUUAUUUCAGCACUGUAGGGUUUGUUUUGCAUUGCACAGACUUUGGGGAGGUCAGAGCAAGGAUCUUGAUGGGUCACUGAGGUGGCUGGAGGAAGAAGCCAAAGUCAUCCACAGCCCUCCUGCUGCACUUUUGUGAUUCUUGCAGUUAGUGCAGAGCAGGCAAAGCAGUCACAAUUAAAACAAUACCUAUUCAAGAUGAAAUUAUAAUUACUGAGGUGUUUUUAUGCAUAUUUGGCAAACACUGAGGAGCUGAGCAACCACCCUGAAUCUCCUGGUGCAAAGGCUGUUCUCAACUAUAGUUACGGCUCAAUGCAAUACAAUUUUCAUGUUUCUAUUUUAGUUCUUUUCAUUUAUUGCCUCUUUUCUGCCUUUUUGUUGUUUUUAGGAUGAGUUGCAUCCUGUUAAGCAUGCUGUGAACUCUCUUACAGUGAUUUCUCUGUAAAUGUUGAGUAAAAUGCUUUCGGCCACAUGAGAGAGGCAGAGACCCAGCUGGACUCUCCUGGCUGCUGUCCCUGGGCUGGGCUGUGUUUUGUGGUGCUCAGCUGGCCUUGAGUGACCACAAUGGGUAGGUGGUGCCAACAGCAGGUACUUUCUGCAGCACUCUUCAUCCAGCCCAUAAGUUUCCUCUGGCACAUCUGACCCAUCACAUCUGAUUCUCCUGGAAAAGAGUUCCCACACAGCAAUGUCUCAUUUAACACAGUCAAGGGAGACAGGUGCUCUUCUGUCAAGAUCCUCAAGCCUUUCCCAGUAAUACAGUCUACUCCUUUUUCCCCAGCAAGCUCUUGCCCUGGGCAGGUUGAUGGUUUGAUCACUGUACUUGUUCACUUGUUUCUGCAUUUGAAGCAGAGGUUUCUGUGGUCACACGACGCAAAGGGACAACUUGGCUGGGUAAUGCUGCUACAAGCUAGAGAAUAUCAGCAUCACAUCUAUUUUUUGGUGUUUGCUCUCACCUGACUUGGCCAUUCGAUUGGCAGCUUCACGGGAUUACCUUCCUCACUGAGAGGAAUGUGUGGGUCCCACAGGCCUGGUAGUCAUGGUUGUGUGAUUCAGAGAAUCCCAAAAUGUCCUGAGCUGGAAGCAACACACAGGAUCAUUGGGCUCAACUCCUGUUGAGAGCCCAGACCCCCCAGCAAUCCCACCCUGGGGACCCUGGCAGCGCUGUCCAAAGGGUCC
Passer domesticus (house sparrow) is the source of this 6833-nucleotide long non-coding RNA. RefSeq lists it as uncharacterized. The record is from RefSeq and is a predicted model, not a curated record. The transcript is spliced from 3 exons. NCBI's taxonomy places the organism in Eukaryota, Metazoa, Chordata, Aves, Passeriformes, Passeridae.